RNAcentral lists this ribosomal RNA (1038 nucleotides) under Enterobacter cloacae. RNAcentral's name for it is "bacterial SSU rRNA". It matches the Rfam family "Bacterial small subunit ribosomal RNA", at positions 348 to 1380 of the family's 1533-position model. Lineage: Bacteria; Pseudomonadati; Pseudomonadota; Gammaproteobacteria; Enterobacterales; Enterobacteriaceae. The record is from RNAcentral.
GCUGAUUGGGGAAUAUCCAUGUGCACAAUGAGCCUGAUGCAGCCAUGCCGCGUGUAUGGAAGGCCUUCGGGUUGUCUUUCAGCGGGGAAGGUGUUGCCGUGAUAGGUUAAUAACCUCACCGUGGCAAUCGUUACCCGCAGAAGAAGCACCGGCUAACUGCCCUGUAGUAGCCGCGGUAAUCCGUGAUACGGAUGCAAGCGUUAAUCGGAAUGGGCGCCAGUAACGCAGGCUGUCCCAGUAAGUCGGGAAAUCCCCGGGCUCAACCUCUAGGGGGAACUGCAUUCGACUGGCAGGCUAAAGUCAGAGGGGGGUAGAAUUCCAGGGCGGUGAACCGUAGUAGAAUAGGUAGAGAUCUGGAGGAAUACCGGUGGCGAAGGCGGCCCCUUGGACAAAGACUGACGUUCAGGUGCGAAAGCGUGGGGAGCAAACAGGAUUAGAUACCCUGGUAGUCCACGCCGUAAAACGAUGUCGACUUGGAGGUUGUGCCCUUGAGGCCCUGAUGUGGCAGCUAACGCGUUAAGUCGACCGCCUGGGGAGUACCGUGGGCCGCAAGGUUAAAAAAUGAAUUGACGGGGGCCCGCACAAGCGGUGGAGCAUGUGGUUUAAUUCGAUGCAACGCGAAGAACCUUACCUACUCUUCGACAUCCAGAGCAGAACUUAGCGUGAUCAGAGAUCUUCGGGAACUCUGAGACAGGUGCUGCAUGGCGUGAUCUGUCGUCAUUGUGAAAUGUUGGGUUAAGUCCCGCGCAACGAGGCAACCCUUAUCCUUUGUUGCCAGCGCCGGCGUGAUGAAGGAGACUGCCCGUGUAAGUGAUAAACUGGAACGUGGUGGGGAUGACGUCAAGUGGCCCUUACGAGUAGGGCUACACGUGAUCACGUGCUACAAUGGCGCAUACAAAGAGAAGCGACCUCGUGCGCGAGAGCAAGCGGACCUCAUAAAGUGCUAGUCCGGAUUGGAGUCUGCAACUCGACUCCAUGAAGUCGGAAUCGCUAGUAAUCGUAAAUGCUACGGUGACGUCGUGAAUACGUUCCCGGGCC